AUGGCUUCCAUGGAGCAGAGGAAAGUAUGCCCUCUUCAUCUAGGCAGAGGAGCGGGACGGCCAGGAGCUGUCGUCCUGCUACCCUAUGCCAAUGGAUGCGCCUCCCAGAUGGCUAGCAACGCCAGAUCCAGCUGGAAAGGACUCUACGCUACCAAUCCUAUUAUUGAAGUUAUUAUGGGGGGUGAGAGGUGGAUAACAAUAGCGAGAAGGAGCAUGCCAUCGAGGAGUGCAAGCAGCGGCACUCCUCCGCAAUGGGGUAUGGCUGCAGGGGAGGGGACACGGCCAACGACAGGAAGAAGGAGCAAGUCGUCGAGGAGUACAAGCAGCAGGUUUCCUGUGACUGGAAGUCUGAAACUGAAGAUAGGGCAUAUUGUUUUGGUUCUGUGGCCGGAGAUAUUGUGGCUUGAUUUCCCUAGAGCAAUCGGACCCUUCCAAGAUAGGGUCGAGUUGGGCUAUAUUUCUUUCAUUGAGGCGAGGGUGGCGUACUCGCCUUUUUUCUUGAAGUUGGGCGUCCGUUGUCUAUGCGGCAAGUUUCUACUGAUUUUCAGUAUGAAAUAUUGGGGCCCGAGUACUUCAGUUCAUUUCACAGUGGAUAUGGCACACACAUGUAUCAUUGCUGUUAUCGUAAUUGAUACCAACACCUUGACUGAAUCGCAUAGAAUAGACUGCCCUGAUAAUUCUUGCAGUCCUAAAAUGGUUUCUCAAAACAUGGGAAAAUUUACAUUCUAA
RNAcentral lists this ribosomal RNA (729 nucleotides) under Triticum aestivum (bread wheat). RNAcentral describes it as "partial small subunit ribosomal RNA". The record is from RNAcentral. Lineage: Eukaryota; Viridiplantae; Streptophyta; Magnoliopsida; Poales; Poaceae.